UGGGGAAUAUUGGACAAUGGGGGGAACCCUGAUCCAGCCAUGCCGCGUGUGUGAAGAAGGCCUUAUGGUUGUAAAGCACUUUAAGCGAGGAGGAGGGUACUGGUAUUAAUACUACCAGGUACUGGACGUUACUCGCAGAAUAAGCACCGGCUAACUCUGUGCCAGCAGCCGCGGUAAUACAGAGGGUGCGAGCGUUAAUCGGAUUUACUGGGCGUAAAGCGUGCGUAGGCGGCUAAUUAAGUCGGAUGUGAAAUCCCCGAGCUUAACUUGGGAAUUGCAUUAGAUACUGGUUAGCUAGAGUGUGGGAGAGGAUGGUAGAAUUCCAGGUGUAGCGGUGAAAUGCGUAGAGAUCGGGAGGAAUACCGGUGGCGAAGGCAGCCAUCUGGCCUAACACUGACGCUGAGGUACGAAAGCAUGGGGAGCAAACAGG
RNAcentral lists this ribosomal RNA (430 nucleotides) under Pseudomonadota bacterium. RNAcentral's name for it is "Proteobacteria bacterium partial 16S ribosomal RNA". It matches the Rfam family "Bacterial small subunit ribosomal RNA", at positions 355 to 776 of the family's 1533-position model. Lineage: Bacteria; Pseudomonadati; Pseudomonadota. The record is from RNAcentral.